RNAcentral lists this non-coding RNA (89 nucleotides) under Pseudomonas prosekii. The record is from RNAcentral. Lineage: Bacteria; Pseudomonadati; Pseudomonadota; Gammaproteobacteria; Pseudomonadales; Pseudomonadaceae.
CUUUAUGGUGGUUAUGCGUGGGGCUCAUUCGUGAGCGCCGGGUUUCCCGCUUAGACCGGUCUACCAACCCACGCAUGGCCGCCACCUCU